AGAGUUUGAUCCUGGCUCAGGACGAACGCUGGCGGCGUGCCUAAUACAUGCAAGUCGAGCGGACCAAACAGGAGCUUGCUCUUGUUUGGUUAGCGGCGGACGGGUGAGUAACACGUGGGUAACCUGCCCGUAAGACCGGGAUAACUCCGGGAAACCGGAGCUAAUACCGGAUAACACCGAAGACCGCAUGGUCUUUGGUUGAAAGGCGGCUUCGGCUGCCACUUACGGAUGGGCCCGCGGCGCAUUAGCUAGUUGGUGAGGUAACGGCUCACCAAGGCGACGAUGCGUAGCCGGCCUGAGAGGGUGACCGGCCACACUGGGACUGAGACACGGCCCAGACUCCUACGGGAGGCAGCAGUAGGGAAUCUUCCGCAAUGGACGAAAGUCUGACGGAGCGACGCCGCGUGAGCGAAGAAGGUCUUCGGAUCGUAAAGCUCUGUUGUUAGGGAAGAAGAAGCGCCGUUCGAAGAGGGCGGCGCGGUGACGGUACCUAACGAGAAAGCCCCGGCUAACUACGUGCCAGCAGCCGCGGUAAU
RNAcentral lists this ribosomal RNA (536 nucleotides) under uncultured Geobacillus sp. RNAcentral's name for it is "bacterial SSU rRNA". It matches the Rfam family "Bacterial small subunit ribosomal RNA", at positions 8 to 524 of the family's 1533-position model. Lineage: Bacteria; Bacillati; Bacillota; Bacilli; Caryophanales; Anoxybacillaceae. The record is from RNAcentral.